AAUAACCUUAUUUUUCGUUUUUCCGUGUCCAACGUUUAACCAUUCGUCUUAUUUAAAAAAUUUAUAAAAAACUAAAAAAAAUUAGUCACAUAUAAAAAUACUAUUCAUAUUUUAUCAUGUAGUAAUAAUAAAAAUAUUAAUCGCAAAAAAAUUUCAAAUAAGACAAAUGGUCAAACGUUGGACACGGAAAAACA
Molecule: microRNA precursor, 194 nt
Filed under: Oryza brachyantha (malo sina)
Lineage: Eukaryota; Viridiplantae; Streptophyta; Magnoliopsida; Poales; Poaceae
Description: MIR812 microRNA precursor family
Rfam family: MIR812 microRNA precursor family
Source: Rfam by way of RNAcentral